RNAcentral lists this long non-coding RNA (527 nucleotides) under Capra hircus (goat). RNAcentral's name for it is "lncRNA (ENSCHIG00000002421.1)". The record is from RNAcentral. Lineage: Eukaryota; Metazoa; Chordata; Mammalia; Artiodactyla; Bovidae.
GCCGGCGGGAGCUGUGCGGAUGAAAGGGGAGCAGAGGGGCGCGAAGAGGACCCGGGCAGAGAUGUCUCCACCACACCGCUGGAGUGACCGCGCCCUCCUCCCGCCUUUCUCUGCCUGCUGCGUGCGCAGGUGCAUGUGUGUGCACACACACACACAGGGACAUCCCAGAUCACAGGAGUCACCCCAGCGCCCAGGGAUUCACACCCUCCCAGUCCACCCUUCACCAGGGACUGACCCCAGGAGGGAUGAAAGGCAAGCUCCUCUGCUGGGGGUCAGGGCAAGUUCAAAGGUCACACAGCCCUCACAUCGCCCCCCGAGAUCACGGGUGUCUCAACAUUGCUCUGGCCUCCGCUUCCUCCUCCAUCAAAGGGGACAGUAGCCCCUCCCUCAUGGUCUGCAAGUCAGACCAGGGGUCAGAACCCUCUGCAGGAGAUGAAAGCGCUGCUCAAAUGUCAUAAAGACCCAGAGGACUCCCCUGACUCAAAUGCGGGGCCCGGUGAGCAAAGCUGAGUCCGGCAUCUCACCCU